AUGAAUUCCAAGUCCUGAAGCCACAGAGCUGAAGUGCAAACUUGGAGCUUGGGCUGUGGAUUGUUUCAGUGAUUCUACUAAGUCUGGCUUACAAGGGUAUUACUUUAAUCUACCAAUGACUUCCUUGCAUAUACAUGUAAUAAUAUACAUCAUCCUGAGUUCCUGGUCAUGCAUACGGCUGCUCAGCUAUGCACAGCCACCUUAUCAGUCAGGCUUCAGUGGUGGUGACUCUGUUGAAAAAAUGGAAGCAAUGAUAAGGAAAAGGCAGUAGAAACUGGAAAUGCUGUUUGCUGCGAACAGUGCCCCAGCUGAGUCCAGGCCAGACUGGACCUGAGCUCACUGAAGGAUAAGGGUCUGACUUCUUUUCCACCUGGUUCUCUGGUGUUUCUGCAUUGCCGGCCAGGGUUGGUGAUCAGCACCUGGACGUGCAGCUAUGGCUGUAAUUCACAGAUGUUAUCUGGGUCCAAUGGAAUCAAGGGGCAGAGCCAGGUUCGAAGUGGAUGCCGUGGCUGAACAUCACGGCUCACUCAGCCGCCCAACAGAGACCAUCUGGAUCGGGUUCUGUUCGUCCACCUGAGGCACACAGGAUUUCAAGCAAGAGUUACAUGAUUCCUUUCCUACCAGUUACUUUGCCUUCCCUGCAUCUCUGCCUUGCUCAGCUUCCAGCAUUCCCAGCUGCUCCGUGCUGUGCAGUGCAUGGACUGUUUGCAGCACACUUGGUUUGCCAGAGCUCCAUCAGAGCACCACUCUGCCCACUGCACCGACUGAUGAACGCGUAAAUCAAAACUGCGGUUCAAGAAAAACCUUCUGCU
This 812-nucleotide long non-coding RNA is filed under the name Gallus gallus (chicken). Its description in RNAcentral is "lncRNA (ENSGALG00010022861.1)". Lineage: Eukaryota; Metazoa; Chordata; Aves; Galliformes; Phasianidae. The record is from RNAcentral.